GACAGGUCGGACUCUCCCUGUUGGAAGUGCUGGCUGCUUGAGGGGAAGGUGCGCCCAGUACGAGAGGAACGGCGUGCCGCGGCCUCUAGUUUACCGGUUGUCCGGUAGGGCAACGCCGGGCAGCCACGCCGUAGGGGGUAACCGCUGAAAGCAUCUAAGCGGGAAACCCUCCCCGAAAAUAGGCGGCCGUUCCCUCUCCGAUAAGGGGAGGGACGAGGGCUCCCGUAUAAGACGGGGUUGAUGGGGCGGGGGUGUAAGCCCCAAGGGGCCUUUGGCUCCGAGGGGUGAGCCCGCCGCUCCCAAUCGCCCGAGG
RNAcentral lists this ribosomal RNA (313 nucleotides) under Acidilobales archaeon. Its description in RNAcentral is "partial 23S ribosomal RNA". It matches the Rfam family "Archaeal large subunit ribosomal RNA", at positions 2694 to 2975 of the family's 2987-position model. The record is from RNAcentral. Lineage: Archaea; Thermoproteati; Thermoproteota; Thermoprotei; Acidilobales.